CCUACGGGGGGCAGCAGUGAGGAAUAUUGGUCAAUGGGCGAGAGCCUGAACCAGCAAAGUCGCGUGAGGGAGUACUGCCCUAUGGGUUGUAAACCUCUUUUGUCGGGGAGCAAAAGCCGUACGUGUCCGGCUGUGAGAGUACCCGAAGAAAAAGCAUCGGCUAACGCCGUGCCAGCAGCCGCGGUAAUACGGAGGAUGCGAGCGUUAUCCGGAUUUAUUGGGUUUAAGGGGUGCGCAGGCGGAUUUUUAAGUCAGCGGUAAAAUCGUGGGGCUCAACCCCAUCCAGCCGUUGAAACUGGGGAUCUAGAGUGUGCGAGAGGUAUGCGGAAUGCGUGGUGUAGCGGUGAAAUGCAUAGAUAUCACGCAGAACCCCGAUUGCGAAGGCAGCAUACCGGUGCACAACUGACGCUCAGGCACGAAAGCGUGGGUAUCGAACAGGAUUAGAUACCCUAGUAGUC
Molecule: ribosomal RNA, 458 nt
Filed under: uncultured bacterium
Lineage: Bacteria
Description: partial 16S ribosomal RNA
Rfam family: Bacterial small subunit ribosomal RNA
Source: RNAcentral